AACGAACGCUGGCGGCAGGCUUAACACAUGCAAGUCGAGCGCAUCCUUCGGGGUGAGCGGCGGACGGGUGAGUAACGCGUGGGAACGUGCCCUCUUCUACGGAAUAGCCUCGGGAAACUGAGAGUAAUGCCGUAUACGCCCGCAAGGGGAAAGAUUUAUCGGAGGAGGAUCGGCCCGCGUUGGAGUAGGUUGUUGGUGGGGUAACGGCCUACCAAGCCGACGAUCCAUAGCUGGUUUGAGAGGAUGAUCAGCCACACUGGGACUGAGACACGGCCCAGACUCCUACGCGAGGCAGCAGUGGGGAAUCUUGGACAAUGGGGGCAACCCUGAUCCAGCCAUGCCGCGUGAUCGAUGAAGGCCUUAGGGUUGUAAAGAUCUUUCAGCUGGGAAGAUAAUGACGGUACCAGCAGAAGAAGCCCCGGCUAACUCCGUG
This 433-nucleotide ribosomal RNA is filed under the name uncultured bacterium. RNAcentral describes it as "partial 16S ribosomal RNA". It matches the Rfam family "Bacterial small subunit ribosomal RNA", at positions 29 to 507 of the family's 1533-position model. The record is from RNAcentral.